CAGCCGCCACGGUAAAACGUAGGUGGCAAGCGUUGUCCGGAAUUAUUGGGCGUAAAGGGCUCGCAGGCGGUUUCUUAAGUCUGAUGUGAAAGCCCCCGGCUCAACCGGGGAGGGUCAUUGGAAACUGGGAAACUUGAGUGCAGAAGAGGAGAGUGGAAUUCCACGUGUAGCGGUGAAAUGCGUAGAGAUGUGGAGGAACACCAGUGGCGAAGGCGACUCUCUGGUCUGUAACUGACGCUGAGGAGCGAAAGCGUGGGGAGCGAACAGGAUUAGAUAACCCCGUAGUCCCUGUCUCUUAUAC
RNAcentral lists this ribosomal RNA (301 nucleotides) under uncultured bacterium. RNAcentral describes it as "partial 16S ribosomal RNA". It matches the Rfam family "Bacterial small subunit ribosomal RNA", at positions 509 to 807 of the family's 1533-position model. The record is from RNAcentral.